AGAGUGUAUAGGGAACUCAACAGUCCAAGUGGAUGCUGGGAUCCCAGGAAGCAGGUGUCUUCUUCCCGCAGGAACUGCUGGUCAGAGGUGCCAGGCCUGUGAUGCUCAUCAGGUGAGGAUGCUGGCAAGGCAGAGGAACACAGGCCUGUGUGAGUCCACAGGGUAGGAUGUCUUGACAGCCCCACUACCACACUGAAGGCCUGAGAGAUCCUGGAGGCAGCUGCGGCUCUUCAGUCUUUUGGAGUCACAAAAGAAACAGUUCUAAUUUCAGCCCAUGGAUGCAGCAGUGACAGAGUAGAGGACUUGUCAGCAAGAUCAAGGGCAAGCCAACAAAACGGAGCUGUCACGGAGGGUGCCACCACCACAGGAGGAUGGGCCUUCCUGCUUCAGAGAAUCUGAUCAAGAAAGCCCCUCUCAGGACUGCACAGCAGCCGGAACUCGAGUUGAUAAUAGCUCGUCAAGGUGACAGGCAAGAGGAGGCAUCACAGGAGCCGUCACUUGUUAUUUGAGACAGGGUCUCUCACUGGCCUGGGCUCUGGCUGGCCAGUGAACACCAGGGCUUUUCUGUUUCUGCCUCUGUGGCAGGUGGAUUACAACACGACCCGCUGGGCCUGGCUUCUUUCACUUGAGUUCUAGGGAGCCAACUCAGCCUGAUUCUCCAAAGGCAAGCGCUGUACCAACUGUGUUACCUCCCAGCCCUAAACUGGGUUUCCGAUUCUUGUAAGCCAUGAAGUACUGACUAAUGUGGGGAUUGUUUUAGGAAGAUAAUGAUAACACACCAGACCUGGUUGUACACACCUUCAGUCUCAGCACUCAGGACAGCAGAGGGGGGCAAAGCUUUGAGUUUGAGACCAGCCCGCUCUACAUAGCAAGGCCCAGGACAGCCAGGGAUAUGCAGCAAGGCAUCUAUUGAGGGGUUAGGGGAGAAGGACAGAGAGGGACAGAGACAGAGAAAGAGACAGACAGAGAGACAGAGACAGACACAGAGAAUAUAACAGUUGUGACACAUGCCUGUAAGCCUAGCACUCGAAGGCAGAAACAGUAGGAUUGAGAAUUGAGCCUGGGCUACACAGAAAAGAACUUGUCUCAAAAAAAAAAAUAAUAAGCAAAACUAAACAAAUAAAAAAUAGACCGAUUCUAUUUAAUAAUAUGCCAAUGUCAUAAAUGAAUGUUUCUGUAAAGAACAUGACAAACAGAAAAACCACUAAGAGAGAGAGUAGCCUCCUUGUGUGAGCAGACUAUGUAUCUGGUGUAAACAGGAUGGGGCUUUUAUUUGGCUCCUCUGGUAUACUCUGUAACUCUAAGCUGCUGCAUUAAGCUCUCCUCAGUUUGAUGGAAUUGACUGUUUUUUUUUUCUUUCCCUUGUACAAAACCAAAACCAAACCCAACAAACAAACAAACCAAGCCCAGAAGGUGCCAAGCAUCGAGGACCAGUCCACCUCAAUGCCAGGGGCCACAGCAAGUGAGACACCUAGAACAAAGCAGGGGCUGAGACUGAGGUGCCUCACAUCUGCCUUCCUGUUCCCUGUACCUCUCCCUGAGUCCCACACAGCUCCAGGUACUUCAUCCCGUAUUCCACAGUACGGUACUCUCAUCCAAGCAUCCAGCAUGGCUGCCUGCUGGCUCUGAGCUCCUCUUGAGCAUGGCUGAAAUCCAGCUGGAGGCGUGUUACCCAGGCAAAGAACCUGGAGCAAAGUCAACACCCGGACUGCAGAGUUCUGUUCAUCUCCAUGUCCCCCUGGUGGAGAGGGAAAACAAGACAUAGCUUUGAAAUGUCUCCAAAGGAGA
RNAcentral lists this long non-coding RNA (1788 nucleotides) under Mus musculus (house mouse). RNAcentral describes it as "RIKEN cDNA 4930526F13 gene (4930526F13Rik)". The record is from RNAcentral. Lineage: Eukaryota; Metazoa; Chordata; Mammalia; Rodentia; Muridae.